CCUGCCGCUGCCGAACAUGACGCGAAUCUGACGCGCAUCUCAUUUCCUCACAAAUCUAGAUAUGUUGAGGUUUCACUACCCCUGGGCGUCUGUUCCAGCAAUACACCUGAGACAGGUUGAAUCACAGGAAAUGUCCUGUUAUGGUGCUUUUGCUGCACAUUGUCUUUAUGUCAAAGGAGGAGUGAUGUCUCAGAAGCCGAAGGGCAGCUCUGCCAGUUUGGGCCAUGACAUGACCACCUCAAGACCUGUAAUGCCAAACUUUAAAAGAGUAUGUCACUCAUGUUGAAAAUGGACACUGAUUUUUUUGGCCACGCUCCAGAAAUAAUAAAAGAUUGAGGUCUUAUGAAGACAUAAUGACUUUGUGUGUCACAAUUUCCCCUGUGUUUUAAUAAGGACUCUUAUUUUGAUAUUCUGUUGUCUUGCUGUUUCUUCAUUUCCUGUGUUUAGUUCCUGUUUGCCUUGGUAUUCGUAGUUACCCUUGUUAGUCUCCAUAGUAACUAAUUAUCCACACCUGUUCCUUGUUAGCCUCUUGUUAUCCUGUGUGUGUGUAUAUAUAUAUAUAUAUAUAUACACCCCUGUGUUUCAGUCUUUGUUUGACGUUUGUGGUCUUUACAAUUCUUUGUAAUGCUGUUGCAGUUCCUGUUUCCCUGUUGGAUUGUUAUA
This is a long non-coding RNA of Ctenopharyngodon idella (grass carp), 663 nucleotides long. RefSeq lists it as uncharacterized. The transcript is spliced from 3 exons. NCBI's taxonomy places the organism in Eukaryota, Metazoa, Chordata, Actinopteri, Cypriniformes, Xenocyprididae. The record is from RefSeq and is a predicted model, not a curated record.